Molecule: ribosomal RNA, 421 nt
Filed under: uncultured bacterium
Lineage: Bacteria
Description: bacterial SSU rRNA
Rfam family: Bacterial small subunit ribosomal RNA
Source: RNAcentral
UGGGGAAUAUUGGACAAUGGGCGCAAGCCUGAUCCAGCCAUGCCGCGUGCAGGAAGAAGCAUCUAUGGUGUGUAAACUGCUUUUGUACGGGAAGAAACACUCCUACGUGUAGGAGCUUGACGGUACCGUAAGAAUAAGGAUCGGCAACUCCGUGCCAGCAGCCGCGGUAAUACGGAGGAUCCAAGCGUUAUCCGGAAUCAUUGGGUUUAAAGGGUCCGUAGGCGGUUUAAUAAGUCAGUGGUGAAAGCCCAUCGCUCAACGAUGGAACGGCCAUUGAUACUGUUAGACUUGAAUUACAAGGAAGUAACUAGAAUAUGUAGUGUAGCGGUGAGAUGCUUAGAUAUUACAUGGAAUACCAAUUGCGAAGGCAGGUUACUACUUGUGGAUUGACGCUGAUGGACGAAAGCGUGGGGAGCGAACA